AAUCAACGCUGGCGGCGUGCCUCAGACAUGCAAGUCGAACGAUUAAACUUUCCUUCGGGGAAGAUAUAGAGUGGCGCACGGGUGAGUAACACGUAAGUAAUCUACCCUUGGGUGGGGAAUAACAUCGGGAAACCGAUGCUAAUACCGCAUAAUGCAGCGGCUUCUUAUGAAGACAGUUGUUAAAGCAUUUAUGUGCCUGAGGAGGAGCUUGCGGCAGAUUAGCAGUUGGUAAGGUAAUGGCUUACCAAGGCGACGAUCUGUAGCCGACCUGAGAGGGUGGUCGGUCACACUGACACUGAAUAACGGGUCAGACUCCUACGGGAGGCAGCAGUCGGGAAUUUUGGGC
Molecule: ribosomal RNA, 346 nt
Filed under: uncultured bacterium
Lineage: Bacteria
Description: bacterial SSU rRNA
Rfam family: Bacterial small subunit ribosomal RNA
Source: RNAcentral